Molecule: ribosomal RNA, 443 nt
Filed under: Pseudoalteromonas prydzensis
Lineage: Bacteria; Pseudomonadati; Pseudomonadota; Gammaproteobacteria; Alteromonadales; Pseudoalteromonadaceae
Description: bacterial SSU rRNA
Rfam family: Bacterial small subunit ribosomal RNA
Source: RNAcentral
GAGAGUAGCUUGCUACUUUGCUGACGAGCGGCGGACGGGUGAGUAAUGCUUGGGAAUAUGCCUUAUGGUGGGGGACAACAGUUGGAAACGACUGCUAAUACCGCAUGAUGUCUACGGACCAAAGUGGGGGACCUUCGGGCCUCACGCCAUAAGAUUAGCCCAAGUGGGAUUAGCUAGUUGGUGAGGUAAUGGCUCACCAAGGCGACGAUCCCUAGCUGGUUUGAGAGGAUGAUCAGCCACACUGGGACUGAGACACGGCCCAGACUCCUACGGGAGGCAGCAGUGGGGAAUAUUGCACAAUGGGCGCAAGCCUGAUGCAGCCAUGCCGCGUGUGUGAAGAAGGCCUUCGGGUUGUAAAGCACUUUCAGUAAGGAGGAAAGGUUAAGUGUUAAUAGCACUUAGCUGUGACGUUACUUACAGAAGAAGCACCGGCUAACUCCGUG